Microcebus murinus (gray mouse lemur) is the source of this 1422-nucleotide non-coding RNA. The record is from RefSeq and is a predicted model, not a curated record. Lineage: Eukaryota; Metazoa; Chordata; Mammalia; Primates; Cheirogaleidae.
CCUCUAGCUCACGCCACUGCCAUCCCCACCAGCACCCACCAGCAGAACUCACAGCCCUUUCUCUCACCACGGCACCCCCAGAGACCGAAAUGAGGCAGACACAGAAAUAUUUGUUGAGUGUGUUAGAAAUGAAAGAUUAAAGAUCUAACCCAGGAAAAGCCAGAGGUCUGCAGGCCCAGACUGAGACCCCUGUGCCCAGGUCUCCAAGGCACGGACUUCAUGGAUGGCACCCGGCACGCAAGGCGGAGCAGCCUGGGAGCCAGCAGAGCCACCUAACUAAUUAGUGCCCGGGAUUUUGUGCCCUCCGCCAUCGCUUCAGUGUGCAUGCAUGCGUGUGUGUGUGUGUAUGUGCGUGUGUGUGUAUGUGCGUGCGUGUGUGUGUGUGUGUGUGUUGGUACACAACUCCAUCCUCCCCCCAGGAGGGAGGCCCUGCAAGGUAACAGUGGGCCUGCAGAGCCGGGGCGACAGCAUAGCUGCUGCUCCCAGAGCUGACGUCGCCAGAGACUUGGCGCUGCCCACCAGCAUCCUCACACCGGCCCUGUGAAGUAGGGCCCCCAUCUCACAGAUGAGGAAAUAGGCUCAGGAGUUACACUGAAAGAGCAGCUGCAAGACUUGAACGCAAAGCCCACACUCCCAACCAGAGUGCACUGAGCUUAAAUGCAGGAGGCCAGCCAGGCACGAUCUCGAAGAAAAAAAAAAAGGUAGGGUUUCCUUGGUAGGCAGAGAGCAAGAAGCAGAAAUGAAUCAGCAAGGGUGAAAGAGGAGAGCGUGGUGACUUGGGAGUUGGAACCGAGCUCGGGGAGAAUGCCGGCCCCUGCAGGUUGAGCUGGGCAGCCCAAGGCCCUGGAAGGCAAAAGGCCCCAAACCUGAGCACAGCGCAGAGAGGGAAAAAGCCAGGCUACCAACCUGCCAUCAAAUUUGCACAGCCUACAUCACCCACUUGAGAAAUCAGCCGCCGCUGCACCGCCAGCCAACACCGUGCCUAAGCCCAAGACCGCAUCCAAUCCCUCCUGCUAUUUCCUGCGCCCGACAAGUGACUGCAGGCAGCAAGCUUGUGAUAAGCCGGCUGGGUGAAUAAAUCCGUCCAUGCAUCCAGAGAAGGAAGUCAGGCCGGGCCCCCAGCCCGAGCCGGGGAGAAGGCUCAGGAGGAGGGCUACAUUUCAGCCGUCUCCACGAUUCCUGCCACCUUCAGGGGGGACACGCACCAUGGGAAACUGAAGUCUACCUCGCAAACGCCAGCCAGGAACGACACUAACGGUUCUCGCCCACAGCCAGGAGCGCUGGAGGAGAGGCGCCCUGGCCGCUCCCGUCCGCUGCCCGCCCUCUUUUCUCUUCCCUCCUAAACCUGUUCUACAGCCCGUGAGAGGAGAGCCCGUCACACACACGGAUACUAAUAGGUACAUAAAUAGGAAGUGAUUUUUG